This 126-nucleotide ribosomal RNA is filed under the name Cryptomonas paramaecium. Its description in RNAcentral is "Cryptomonas paramecium partial Eukaryotic large subunit ribosomal RNA". The record is from RNAcentral. Lineage: Eukaryota; Cryptophyceae; Cryptomonadales; Cryptomonadaceae.
GCUUCAACCAGCCCGUCUUAAAACACGGACCAAGGACGGGCAAGACGUAUGCGAGUAGUAAGGUGGCAAACCUUGUCACCUUCUUCUUUCAUUUCGCGAAAUGAAAGAGAAGGUGGGUAGGAUCCU